Molecule: ribosomal RNA, 372 nt
Filed under: uncultured organism
Description: partial 16S ribosomal RNA
Rfam family: Bacterial small subunit ribosomal RNA
Source: RNAcentral
GUAGGGUGGCAAGCGUUGUCCGGAAUUAUUGGGCGUAAAGCGCGCGCAGGCGGUCCUUUAAGUCUGAUGUGAAAGCCCACGGCUCAACCGUGGAGGGUCAUUGGAAACUGGGGGACUUGAGUACAGAAGAGGAAAGCGGAAUUCCAAGUGUAGCGGUGAAAUGCGUAGAGAUUUGGAGGAACACCAGUGGCGAAGGCGGCUUUCUGGUCUGUAACUGACGCUGAGGGGCGAAAGCGUGGGGAGCAAACAGGAUUAGAUACCCUGGUAGUCCACGCCGUAAACGAUGAGUGCUAAGUGUUAGGGGGUUUCCGCCCCUUAGUGCUGCAGCUAACGCAUUAAGCACUCCGCCUGGGGAGUACGGCCGCAAGGCUG